This 239-nucleotide unclassified non-coding RNA is filed under the name Helotiales sp. RNAcentral describes it as "partial contains 5.8S ribosomal RNA, internal transcribed spacer 2, and large subunit ribosomal RNA". Lineage: Eukaryota; Fungi; Ascomycota; Leotiomycetes; Helotiales. The record is from RNAcentral.
CGCACAUUGCGCCCCUUGGUAUUCCGAGGGGCAUGCCUGUUCGAGCGUCAUUACAACCCUCAAGCCUGGCUUGGUAUUGGGCUCCGCUACUUACCUGGCGGGCUUUAAAAUCAGUGGCGGUGUUGUCGAGGCCCUGAGCGUAGUAAAUCUCCUCGCUAUAGGGACCCGGUGACUACUAGCCAUAACUCCAACUUCCUAAGUUUGACCUCGGAUCAGGUAGGGAUACCCGCUGAACUUAA